RNAcentral lists this long non-coding RNA (1329 nucleotides) under Scophthalmus maximus (turbot). Its description in RNAcentral is "lncRNA (ENSSMAG00000024804.1)". Lineage: Eukaryota; Metazoa; Chordata; Actinopteri; Pleuronectiformes; Scophthalmidae. The record is from RNAcentral.
UCAGUACCUACGACAACUCCCUCCGCGGCUUUCCUUUGACAGAAACACGUGAAUGUGUGGAAUCAAAUAGCUCUGACAUCUGUUUCCCGGGGACUGGUAAGUCGUGCUGCGUUAGAACCUCUGUUUGGAACGUUCGGGAAAUAAGUGCCAUGUGGAUUUGACACAGACUUUAUUUCAAUGUCGGCAUCAAUUCGAUCGGCGUGAGUCGUGUGCGCGCUUCACUUUCCACCCGACGUUGACGUGAAAUGUCCCCGACUGUCACCGAGACGUCCGCUUUCCCCCUGACGGCGGAGAAGAACUUCUCGAGCGCGAAUUAUUGGAAGUGACGGGGGGGCGCCAUCCGUGACUCUGAUAAAUACUGGAGGGAGGGGGAGGGGACAACAGGGCGAGUGAAUGGAAGAAAAAUGUGGGGGGAGUGGAGGCUGGAGUGUGUGUGUGUGUGUUUGUGUGUGUGUGUGUUUCCAUCCAGCUGUAUCUUACCUUUCCCUCCACUUUGACAUGCCGACAGCCGACACCCAACCUGCAACUUCAUGCUGGAGGUGGAGAGGGACCAGCUGGAGUGUGUGAAGCGGCUGCGGGAGGAGGACGAGGAGGAGGAGGUCGCCGACGUCCGCCGCAAAGGUCACAAUCACUCGCAAACGUGACAAUUAGAAGAUUUUUUUAUUUAUUUCAAGAAUAAAGUCAAAAUUUCGACCCUGAAGCACUUCUCCGCAGCCCCAAACAACCGGAUGUUGAUGUUUUGUUAGCCAGUUUGCUAAGCUAAUGCUAGCUGCUAACGAAGUUGUAAAGUCGCGAUAUUAUUAUUCUCAGGCUAAGCCGGUGACAAUGGGUGUCCUGACACGUGUGUCCUGACACGUGUGUACUGACAUGAUAACGUUUUGAAUUUUGAGAGGCGUGCAGUUACCGAAGCUAGCAUAGCUUUGCUAACGUUAGCUAACAUGGAUGUGUGACAGCUGAAGUGGAACCACAACAUGGACUUUUAGGGCCAUUAUAAAUUAAAAAUCUGUGAAAUCUGAAAAAAACAACCUCCAAUUAGAUUUUUAAAAAUUCCUGGAUCCGCCCCUUUGUCCAGAUCCGAGCCGGACAAAGGGGCCAAAAUUGAAUGGGUUAUUUCUUGGUCCGUUUUCCAUCCUUCCGUCGAAUUUCUUGGAAAUCUGCUCCGUAGUUUUUGUGUGAUCCAGGGGUGAAGAAAGAAAAAAGUGCUGUCAAUCAUAGUUUAGCCCAAAAACCAAACCUGAUAACAACAAAGCUACAGGAAGCUCUGCAGCUAUUGUUUGGUUUCAUCGAUACAGUAUUGCCUCACGCAAGUCAACACAACCAAAGAAUAUC